UGCGUAGGCGGUCUGCUAAGUUGGAUGUGAAAACUCUGGGCUUAACCCAGAGCCUGCAUUCAAUACUGACAGGCUAGAGUUCUGGAGGGGAUAGCGGAAUUCCUGGUGUAGCGGUGAAAUGCGUAGAUAUCAGGAGGAACACCGGUGGCGAAGGCGGCUAUCUGGACAGAAACUGACGCUGAGGCGCGAAAGCUAGGGAGCAAACA
RNAcentral lists this ribosomal RNA (206 nucleotides) under uncultured bacterium. RNAcentral's name for it is "partial 16S ribosomal RNA". It matches the Rfam family "Bacterial small subunit ribosomal RNA", at positions 568 to 774 of the family's 1533-position model. The record is from RNAcentral.